Caenorhabditis elegans is the source of this 21-nucleotide non-coding RNA. The record is from Ensembl. NCBI's taxonomy places the organism in Eukaryota, Metazoa, Nematoda, Chromadorea, Rhabditida, Rhabditidae.
UAACUCGUUUUCGAUCGGAAA